Molecule: long non-coding RNA, 248 nt
Filed under: Helianthus annuus (common sunflower)
Lineage: Eukaryota; Viridiplantae; Streptophyta; Magnoliopsida; Asterales; Asteraceae
Description: hypothetical non coding rna
Source: RNAcentral
GUGUAAGAAGAAAUAAGACCCAGUGGCCUGUCAUAAGGAAAAGAGCACACCAUAUACCAUGGACCAACAUCUCGGGAAUCACCACUGCGUUAAUGCGAGCCGAUGAAUCAUACGGGUUCAUGUAGUCAGCCUCCAAGUCUAUUAGAGGCGACGAGAGCGACGUUCAUUACGAAGAAGAUCACCCACAGAACCACUUCCCACGCCAUUUAAUCAAUCGUCUCUUUCAGGAUGAAAACAAUUCAGGGUUU